This 4422-nucleotide long non-coding RNA is filed under the name Pelobates cultripes (western spadefoot toad). The record is from RNAcentral. Lineage: Eukaryota; Metazoa; Chordata; Amphibia; Anura; Pelobatidae.
AGUGAGAAGCACGCAAGCGCCUCUAGUGGCUGUCAAUGAGACAGCCACUAGAGGAUUAGGGGGAAGGCUUAACCCAUUAAUAAACAUAGAAGUUUCUCUGAAACUGCUAUGUUUAUUAAAAAAUGGGUUAACCCUAGCUGGACCUGGCACCCAGACCACUUCAUUAAGCUGAAGUGGUCUGGGUGCCUAGAGUGGUCCUUUAAGGAAAGAUAAAAAACAAGAACAGAAAUCUGAAAAAAACUUUCUAAUUUCUUUACGGCGGUAGAUCCUAAGCUGGACAGAGAUACAUCCUCAGUGGAAGUACCAGUAUGAAGACAACUCUGAUUAAAAAAUUAAUAGUGACCAAAAAAACAUUACUCCUGAACAUCUUCAAGAAUGUUUUGAUAUGCACAAAAGUGUGAGGGUAACAGGAGGACAUUGGUAGAGUAUCCUAUGGAGUGGAAUACCCUACUAGUUGCAGUAAACAGUAAGGGUACAGUAGAGAACCUUACGUGAAACCUUAAUGCGUGAAUAUUAAAACUUAACUUUUACUGAUAAAUUUCUAAUAUAUAAAGACUGGCGAGAGUCAACACCCAAAAACACUUGUGUGUAAAACAAAAAGUAAAUGAAUCAAAUAGAAUAAAAUCAACACUUUUCUGAGACUUGCAUAAAGUACUCCACACACGUGUGGAGACUAUUGUCUAAACUGUGUAGACAAUAAGUCGGGUACAGAGUGCCCAGUAGUAUCUGGAAGUCCCAGCCAGGUAUUUGCCAACACUUGUCUGUGAUAUGUCGCAAUUUGAUACAAAAAUUUGUAGUGGGGAUUAUUGUCUAAACUGUGCGUGGUAGCUAUAGUUAAAAGACAAAAAGUCGGGGAAAGAGUGCCAAUUUGUAUCCGGGGGUCACAGCAAGGUGUUUCCAACACUUGUCUGGGAUUAGCAGCAAGUUGAAACAAAAUAAUAGUGGGGGAUUAUUGUCUAAACUGUGCGUGAUAGCUGUAGCUAAAGACAAUGAAUGCCCACUAAUUAGUAGAAAACGAAAGAAGUCUCAACAAGUUGAGCUGUAUAAAACUGGUGAGAGUCAUCACCCAGAGUAUCUGGGAGUCGCAGCAAGGUGUUUCCAACACUUGUCUGGGAUUAGCUGCAAAUUGAAAUAAAUGCAUUGUGGGGAUUAUUGUCUAAACUGUGCGGGAUACCUUGUAGCUUAAGACAAUAAAUGCCCACUGUCACGAAUGCACCCUACUCCAAGAGUGUGUGUGAUGUAGUUGUGGUGGUGAAAGGGUUAAAGUACACUAUUUGUCUGCACUAGACCGGAAAUAAUGACAAAAUCUACCUUUUAACACCACCCACACUUAAACAUAAUAAUAUAACUAUUACUAUUUUAUCACUGCCAAGACAAUUUAUAAAUGGGGUGCCUUGGUCCCCCAGGUAAAUCAAUAAUAAAACCCACCAAAUAUUACUUAGUACAAUAUUUAAGGAAUUACAAAAAUGCUAACUAGUCUCUUCAGGUAACGUGAUUCUUAACCAGACAAAGGCAGAACUUAAUAAAUUAAUGUUUAUUAUGAGCAAAAAAUAGUCACAACAGAUAAAAACAAAAAGGAUAAAAUACAGGAGUCCUAAUUACUCACUUUGGUUUUCAAAGUACAACUUCUGCCCAGGGGGUCUCUGGCAAGGAAAGAUGGUGACUCACUUAGAAUUAGAUUCUUGGCCCCAGCAAGUACACUAGCACCCUUCAGGAUCAUUAGAGAUAUACCCUGUGGAUUACCACACCUCAGCCAGAGGUGGAGUUAAGGCGUAUCUAUAGAGAUACUAAGUGACCACCCCCUUGUGUCCAGACCCACAUCAAUUUGGUUGUAUCUUCUCUUAUGUACCCGCCACAGAAAUAAUAAUUGCAUCUAUGAAUUUAUUAUUUUCCCAUUCUAUACAUAUGUUGCAUGCCGGCCUUGGGAUCCGAUAGGAUGGACACCACAAUUCCUUCCCUCAUGGUCAAGUUAGGCCACUCAUGUUUGGACUUGGUUAGAAGAUGGCGCUUGACACAUUACAAAUAUAACAAACAUUAGGCUUUAUUAUUAUUCUGUGGGGAGGGUGGGUAAAUAUGAAUGAUUUUGUCCUUCCUUUGGAUAUGAUACUGGAACAAGGCUAAUAGCAUUUACAUAUCAAAGAGAUUAGCUCAUCCCUUACAAGGUACAUGCCAAAUGGAUGAAGAGACAUUCAGACUUUUUCCAAGUGUAGAAUCUCACACCUUGCAGAGCCUUGAUUACUUCACAUCCAUAUAGUAAAAUCCUUUUCACAUUGCUAUGCCAUUCAUACUACCCCUUCUGUCACCUGACCUCUGUGGGGGUCCCAGCUUCAAAAGAUGUAACCCCUUUUGACCUCAACAAUACCAUCUCUGUAAUUUGUGCCAUUUACUACACAAAUUACAUUAAAGGAUAAUAUUCCAUAGUAUAAUAAUAAAUUAUGCAUCCUUGCCGUGACACCCACUAAUUAAUAAAUCAAAUAGAUUAAAAUCAACACUUUUCUGAGACUUGCAUAAAGUACACCCUCGCCUAGUGUAUAAGGCACCUACAAUCUCCCUAUCUCCACCCCCACAUUUUGAAGGUAAUACUCAAGAAUGUCAGGGAUUUCUUAAUCAGAUUGAGUACCAUUUUGAAGCAUCACCUGGGUCCUUACCCAUGGAUAGAGCUAAAAUUGUGUAUUAAAUGAACCAACUGAAAGGUAAAGCCUUAGUUUGGGCCAAUCCAUUAUGGGAGAGUAAUAGGACUAUUGCCUACAAGUACCAGGAAUUCCAGGAAUUGUCAAAUUCAAAUUAAGGUUUGGACCAUUGGGAAGGGAGAACAAUGCUGCCACUGCCCUAAUGCGUAUCAAACAAGGGAACCGUUCUGUCUCAGAUUAUGCCAUAGAAUUCUGCACUCUGGCUUCUGAGGUAGACUGGACUAAUAACAGAUUAAUCACUGCAUUUGCAGAGGGAUUAUCUGAAGCUAUCCUUGAUGAAAUUGCAGCCAAAGAACUACCAGGGAGGUUAUGUGACGCAUAUCGAUAACCGACUUAGGAACAGGGAGAUAACUAGAAGCAGAAGUUUGAAUAUGUCACUGGCACCUCACUUCUCCAAUCUUGUUUUCCCUGGCCCUUCUGUGCAGUCUGAAUCUGAACCUAUGCAGUUAUGGGUUAUGAGACAUCAGAAGCAGAGAAAGUUCAGGAGAAAAGAAGGCCUUUGCUUAUACUGUGGCAAGAAAGGACCUAUAAGAAAUGCUUGUCCCAUAUGCCCGGAAAACUUGCACACGUAAGAGCCAUCAGGUGUCAUGUAUAUGUCCCCCGGUACUACCCAAAGUUGAUUUCUCCUUAGUGUUGCUGCUCAAUGCAAUAAGAUAAGUUUUACGUGUAACGACCUGAUUGACUAAGGCGCUGCUGAAAACUUUAUUGACAUGUAAUUUGCCAGUAAACACCUUAUACCCACCAAGAAUAGAACUUCACCCCUGGCCAUCGAGGCCAUUGAUGGGAGGCCACUCUCUCAGACUCUUAUUACCCAGUGUCACGAUAGCAGUGUUUGUCAAGAUCCUGUCCUUACAAGCAAGACUUUUGUUAUGUAUAUUCUGUUCUUUUAAAAACCAAGUUUCGACAUUGAUUAAUGAUUUUGUUUUACCACUAGUGGCCUCCAUUGCCUCUAGUUUGACCACUCACCUCAUCAUGCUCACCUGCUUGGACUAAUUUGGGUUCCUCCAAAAGGUAACAUCCAACUCACCACUUGGCCUUUACAUUGAAGUUGAUGAUUGCCUGAAAAGAUUUCAUAACCUGGCUCCUGAGUUAUCCUGGGGAUUUUCUUUAUUGGCUUCAUAACCUGCUAUACUCACCAACCUGCUCCAAACUUACCUGUACAACUCUUCAUUCCUGCCUUAUCUACAAACCUGCAGCAAACCAACCUGAACUCCCUAUAUUCCUUCUGAACAUCCAACUUGCUUAAAACAACACUGGACUUUAAUUUACUUUGUGGCUAUCUAUUCACUCCUACAAUGGAUUUACUGAUAUUCCAAACUAUAUUUGCGUCUAUCAAAAAGGACCUGCUACUACUAUAUAACCUCUUAUCCAAAGAGACUGAACAACUACAACCCUAUUUAAGUAUUCAUUAUAUUUCUGUCUAGUUCUGUUUAGUUAUUUCUUUAUAUCGUGUUCUGGGGCAUAUUGCCUAAAUCCUGUUUCCUAUUAUCCCUCUAUAUUGUACCUACAAUCUCUCUUAUAGGUUUAUCUUCAAUUACCUAUAACUUCUUUUAUAGAUUUACCUUAUUUCAACUUUGGUCUUGGUGUCUUAAUCCUUUAUUUCUUAGGCUAUGCAACUCCCUGUAUAUUUAGACAUUAUGUUCUGUUCACUAUCUUUCAUUCCUAUAACUACAGUUAUAGGAUAUCCUAAUCUUACAAGAAUGUCUAAGAUAAAUAAAGACCCUCAAAUCAA